Molecule: long non-coding RNA, 704 nt
Filed under: Calidris pugnax (ruff)
Lineage: Eukaryota; Metazoa; Chordata; Aves; Charadriiformes; Scolopacidae
Description: lncRNA (ENSCPUG00000008600.1)
Source: RNAcentral
UGAAUAUGUUUGGAUAAGUAAAUGACACAGUUAUUAUGACUACAGUUACCCGAAGUGUGUUUUCACUGUAGGAUUUCAUCCAGAAAGGCUGUAUACAAAGCACUGUGAAAUAGUUGCAGCUAGAUGAGAGUAAAACAGCAACAAAUGAAGGCCAGGAGAAUUGGAAGAUGAAAGCUUCAUGGCAAUGUGGCUGUCCUACUUUUCCACGCCUGCUUGUUUUCAAAGCAAACUGAAAGCAGACGAACAUGGGAACAGACUCCUGCUCAAGACUGGGCUUUGCUGCAAGGAGUGAACUACCUCCCCAGGGAGAUGGAUGAGAGUGGCUCCAUCAGCCUCCUUUUCCUGCAAAGGACUUGCUGGUCUUCUCACCUGAAGCUAUUUGAAGGAUUUAGGCACACUGGACCUCCCCAUGACCCCACAAGCUAAAUCAGUCCAUCCGCUGCUGAACAAGAAUGUUUAUAUGAAAACCAACUGUUCCUUGACCCCCUGACUUAAACAGAAAAAUGCAUCUACACAAAGAAUUACAGCAACAGAAUACUUACAACAUAUACUCGAGUACACAUUCUUUGCUUUCUGAUAAAUUUCCAUUUUCACUGCAAAGGAAUUUACGGUGUCUUAAACCCCUCCUCAUAACACUUCUCAAGACCUGCUGCUGCUUCCCAGCUGGAGUGAUGGCCAAUACCACACUGCUUGAAACACAAUAG